Molecule: ribosomal RNA, 497 nt
Filed under: uncultured bacterium
Lineage: Bacteria
Description: partial 16S ribosomal RNA
Rfam family: Bacterial small subunit ribosomal RNA
Source: RNAcentral
GAUGAACGCUGGCGGCGUGCCUAAUACAUGCAAGUCGAGCGAACAGACGAGGAGCUUGCUCCUCUGACGUUAGCGGCGGACGGGUGAGUAACACGUGGAUAACCUACCUAUAAGACUGGGAUAACUUCGGGAAACCGGAGCUAAUACCGGAUAAUAUAUUUAACCGCAUGGUUCAAUAGUGAAAGACGGUUUUGCUGUCACUUAUAGAUGUAUCGCCGCCGCAUUAGCUAGUUGGUAAGGUAACGGCUUACCAAGGCAACGAUGCGUAGCCGACCUGAGAGGGUGAUCGGCCACACUGGAACUGAGACACGGUCCAGACUCCUACGGGAGGCAGCAGUAGGGAAUCUUCCGCAAUGGGCGAAAGCCUGACGGAGCAACGCCGCGUGAAUGAUGAAGGUCUUCGGAUCGUAAAACUCUGUUAUUAGGGAAGAACAAAUGCGUAAGUAACUAUGCACGUCUUGACGGUACCUAAUCAGAAAGCCACGGCUAACUACGUG